This 274-nucleotide ribosomal RNA is filed under the name uncultured bacterium. RNAcentral describes it as "partial 16S ribosomal RNA". It matches the Rfam family "Bacterial small subunit ribosomal RNA", at positions 79 to 354 of the family's 1533-position model. The record is from RNAcentral.
CUAAGUUUGAUGGCGACCGGCGCACGGGUGAGUAACACGUAUCCAACCUGCCUCAUACUCGGGGAUAGCCUUUCGAAAGAAAGAUUAAUACCCGAUGUUAUAGUCCUACCGCAUGAUGGGAUUAUUAAAGAAUUUCGGUAUGGGAUGGGGAUGCGUUCCAUUAGUUAGUUGGCGGGGUAACGGCCCACCAAGACAACGAUGGAUAGGGGUUCUGAGAGGAAGGUCCCCCACAUUGGAACUGAGACACGGUCCAAACUCCUACGGGAGGCAGCAG